CUGGGAACAGAGGUGCAUAGGACAUUUGAUCCCAUUGCAGUCACCACCACUGAGCUAAAGAAAAGCUUUUCCAUGUUGGAGCAAAUGUUCUAGACAUGAGGCUUUGAUCUGAUAAUCUGAAUCCUUGACAGUGAAAGAACUUGAGAUAAAUAUGUUCUUUAAUUCUUGUUUUGAUUAAUAAACACAGAAGAUCUGAAUUGUGCUCUUCGGUGUGUAAAGCAAAGAGAGCCAAGUCGAUCGACUGUUUUGUUCUGGCAGGUGAGAAUCUAACUGCUUUUCCUUCCCUUGAGUGAAUCAACCACCAAAUGCAAUUACAAAAUGAUAGGGGGAAUGAGGAUGGGACUGAAAAGGUCGUGCUUCCUUUUUCUUAGCCAUCAGCAUCCUAUGUGGAGUCCCUUCCACCUCCCCACCCCACGAGACUCUGGUAAGCUAGAGGGAGGUGAUAGGCUGCCUCUACCACCUCCACAUCAAGCCCCCGAUAAGAGGCCAGAAGCAGGAUUUAAAAGGCCAGUUGUUUUCCUUCCAGGUUACAUCAGGACUCCCCACCUCCCUGGUCCUUAUUCUAGGCCAUGGUUUUUUGCUUCUUGUUCCCACACUUCCCUCCUUUCAGCCCCAUGGACGCUGGAGGCUUUGGGGGCUUCCUAAACUUUGGCUCGUCUUGUCCCCACCCCACUCCAGAGCUCUCCCACAGGGCCAACCCCAUUUCUUUGGGCUUUUGUAGCUUCCUUCCUUCCCCUCUUUCCUAUUAGUUCCUUCCCCAGGCCCUGCAUAUAUCAGAGAUUUCUACAUAUUUUUCUGUUGCUAGUGGAGGGAGGAAAAAGGGAAUCUUGCUUCAAGUGGAAGCAGGAAAGACCCAGUUCCUCCUUUCACUCACCUUAGACAGGAGCCUCAGCCACCAGAGCCCACAGGGAUAUGCAUGCCCUGCAUUCACAGAAUUGACCUGGGGACCUCAUGCGGUAAUAUGGGAAACAUGAAGAGCUAGACAAGUGCAAAGAACCAUCAGACAGUAAAUUCUGUUGCUGCAUCCUACAGACCCACCUCCUUAUCUGCCCCAGAUGAUUGUCAGUUCCUCUCAGAACACCUGUGGCCAGAGUCACCCCAAAUGGCGCUUCACAGGGACAGCUUACUGGGCACCUACUCUCAAGCUGGAAGUUAAGCUCAAGCUCUGGACACCACUGUGGGACACACUGGCUAUGGAGUCAAAGUCUCGAGUUGAACUGAGCAAGUAGACUGGCUCCUCUGAGCCUGUUUUCUCAUCUAAGAAAUGAAGCUAAGAAGCCCUGCUUUGCAGGUUGUGAUUAA
Molecule: long non-coding RNA, 1302 nt
Filed under: Equus asinus (donkey)
Lineage: Eukaryota; Metazoa; Chordata; Mammalia; Perissodactyla; Equidae
Description: lncRNA (ENSEASG00005038765.1)
Source: RNAcentral